GGAUGUGAGGGCGAUCUGGCUGCGACAUCUGUCACCCCAUUGAUCGCCAGGGUUGAUUUGGCUGAUCGGGCUGGCUAGGCGGGUGUCCCCUUCCUCCCUCACCACUCCAUGUCCAUCCCUCCCGAAGCUGCGUGCUCGGUGGAAGAGGACGACCAUCCCUCAGAAGGAGUGUACCGUCCUUCGGUCAAGGGUAUACGAUAGCUGCGUUCCCCUGCUAGAACCUCCAAAAUAAGCUCAAGGUCCAUUUGUAGGAGAACGUAGGGUAGUCAAGCCAAACUUGGGUU
This 284-nucleotide small nuclear RNA is filed under the name Podarcis lilfordi (Lilford's wall lizard). It matches the Rfam family "7SK RNA". From Rfam's summary of the family: 7SK was discovered as an abundant small nuclear RNA in the mid-70s but a possible function has only recently been suggested. Two independent studies have found that 7SK RNA binds the CDK9/cyclin T complex (known as elongation factor P-TEFb). P-TEFb activates transcription by phosphorylating the C-terminal domain of RNA polymerase II. Lineage: Eukaryota; Metazoa; Chordata; Lepidosauria; Squamata; Lacertidae. The record is from RNAcentral.